RNAcentral lists this long non-coding RNA (13100 nucleotides) under Solanum tuberosum (potato). Its description in RNAcentral is "long non-coding RNA (STUB_LNC007709)". The record is from RNAcentral. Lineage: Eukaryota; Viridiplantae; Streptophyta; Magnoliopsida; Solanales; Solanaceae.
GCUCGUAUUAUUAUGCCUAUCCGUCUUAUCAAUACCCUGUUUACCAAGUUACAGAUUCUUAUGGUCAAUCCAAUUGCUCCAUUAUGUGAAACAGAGGGAUCCAAGAUAUAAUAAAAAUGUAUUUACGGUCAAAUAUUUAUUAAUAUGUUGAUAGAUAUUAGCGAGUUUGAGCAAAAGCUAUUGGGUUCAUGUGAACCUGAGCGAUACAAAAAAAUGAUACUGGAAGGUCAAAACAGAGUAUCAUUUUAAGUUUUUUUUUGUUCGUUCAGAGAGCUUAAUGGACUAUCUAGUAGAUGAAGAGUUUUGGUUUCCAUCUUUGUAAAUCCGUUUCAAGUAAUAAAAUAUUUGAAUUUUGUAGUGAAUGAUUCAAGUGAUUAACUAUGUGACGUAUACAAAAAAAUUAAUUAACUGGAAAAUAUUUUCCUUAAUGUCAAAUGGAUAGGAGACAAAAAGAUAAGAGUAAUAUGUUUAUGCUCAUAUAUUUCCCUAAUUUUUGAGUAGUUUAUAAAUUUAGAAAUUAGAAAAAACAAUCUAGAAUUUAAUUUGUUAUUAUGUUUGUUAAAACUCUUUCAAAAUUGGUAGAUGAUAUGCACACUAUUUAUAAUCCACAAGCGAAAUUAACAUAGAAUUAAUGUAAGUGGAAUUUCUUGCUCUAAAAACUAAAACUAAUCUCUAGUUUUAUCAAAAGAAAAUUGAUAAAGUAGCAACAUAAUUAACACAAUUAUAGUUUGAUAUGGCAUUAUGUACCUGAUAUGAAGUCGUCUUUAUUAGAAAACAUUUUAUUUCCUAAUUUGAGAUCUUCCAGUACGAAUAAAGAUUUAGUAGAGUUUCAAUACGAAUAUCAAACACCGAAUAGAAAACUAAAGAAAGACAAAGUGUGAUUUUAAACAAAAGAGGGUACGCUGGUUGGGGACCAGAACUAGAAGUGUUGUGUCUUAACUAACAUAACAAGUUUCGUAAUACACUCCAAAACCUUCUUAUAAUGGUCAUUAUAAUGUUAUUAACUUAUUUUUUAUGAUAUAGAACUUAAAAAAAAUAAAAUUUAACCCACUUUUAUAAUAUAGAACUUUUUAAAAAAAAUUAGUCACGGACAUUAUCACUUAUUUAUUGUUAAAUUGUUCGUAGAUAAAUACUUUUUAAUAAAAUAUUGUUAAUUUAUUGCUAAAUAGAAUUAGCGGUAAAUUUUAUUAUUCAGCUAUCAAAUUUAACCGUCUCUAAUUCAUUUUUUUUUUUAAGUAGUGAGUAGCCUCCCUUGUUGCUUAGUGCCUUUGUCUUUCCAAUAUCAUUAAUAGAGCUCGAUUGUGACAAGAUAUUUUUGUCAAUACUUAGCAGAAUAAUGUAGCAAAAAGUCUAUCUAUAGAUGUACGUCCAAGAAACUUAAAUGAUUAUUAGAAGAAAAUAUGAAAAAUAGAAUGAAACGAUUGCUAUCCUCAUUUAAUUAGAUAGAACAUUGAUAUAUCUUAGAAAUGAAAGCAAUAUGGAUUUAACCACACAAAAAGUAAUAUAUGUCAACACAAAUAAUAGUAUCCACAUAGGUGGUGGACAACUAUCUUCUUAUAAUUUUUAACAAUUCUCAUUCGUAAAUUAAUUUUUGAAGUUUAAUUAAGUUCAAUAUUAGAGUUAGACUCAUCUCAAUUUUGUUUGAUACUGGACCCCCAGCUCAUAUUAUUUGUACACUUGAUAAUCCAAUCUAUGAGUAUAGGGUUGUUAAUAUGUAGUUCAUAACGAUUCAUUUUUAUUUCUUACUUAAUCACGUCUCAUUAUUUAUAAAGAAAUUAGUUAUAACAAGAGAUAACCGAUAUUCGACAAUUCAUUUGUACCCGUUUUUCAUGAGCUAUACAAUGGUAUAAACAUGUAGUCCUUACUGCGCCGAAACAAGAAAAUUGAUGCGCCUUAGUACUUGCCAAGCAAGAAAGGGGAAGAAGAUGACUUGGUUCGUUUUCUAAAUAUCCAAAUUGUAGGUUGACUUAUUGACUUUUUGGGACCCCAAUUAUUGGAACCAAAUUUAGAGGAUAUAUUACUUCGUCAAUUUAGUUUGUUUUUAUUUUAUUAUUUUAAUGGAAUUUAAGAAAAUAAAAUUUAGAACUAAAAAGUGUCACAAAAGGGAUUUUUGAACCGAUUUUUAAAGAAAAAGUAAGAUAAAUAAAUUAAAACGAAAAAAUUACUUGAAUUUUGUAAUCUAUUUGUUUUAAUUUAUUGUUUUAUUUUGACUAGAUAUAGAAUUUCAAAAAAAUAAAAAUAAUAAUUAAUUAUUUAAUUUUAAACUAAAAAUAUGUAUUAAAAUAUCUUUUGAAUCUUCUCAUUUAAAACAAUGUAAAAUGUUCAACUUAUAAAUAUACAAAGAAGUAUUUAAAAAAAAAAACUUAAAAGAAAAAAAAUAUUAGAAUUAAUAUAAAUGGAGUAAUAGUUUUUAUCCUAACAUAUACUCAUUCUGUUAUAAUUUAUGUGACACUAUUUAAUUUGAUACAAAAUUUAAGAAUGAAAAGAAAAGUCAUUUAAAAUUAUGGUCUAAAGUCUAAACCACUCCUUUAACUAUUUAUGUGUUUAUAAAUCCAUAAGGUAAGUGUGUCACGAUAAAUUGAGAUGGGAGAGUUUAUUCAAACAACCAUUUUAUGGCUUCAUACAAUCAAACCUAGGUCAACCUCAUAACGUACGGAGUUUGGCGGAUGACUGAAUCAUUCUUCUUCCACACGCGCCUUAUUUCAAACAACUAUCUUAAUAUUUUUCUUGCAAGUCUAUAAAUACCCAAUAAUACACAAGUAUUUCUCACUGCAAUUUCUCAGCAUUUCAAAUAUUCCUCCUCUUUUACACUCUCUGCCUACUCAAUUAUACUCCUAACCAAACUUUAAUUCCCCAUCAAACAAACAAAAUGAAGGUAUACAAAUUAAUUUAAAUAUAAUUUUUAAAUUUUUUUAAGUAUAUAAUUCAACUCUUAUAUAUUAACAAAUGUUGUUAAAUUUGUGCAGCAAAAAGUUGUUAUCAGACUAACUUUGAAUGGAAACGAUCGGAAAUAUCGAACCAAGGCCUUCAAGAUAGCUGCUUCUCAAUCAGGUAAUUUUGUGUUGAAUAAAGUUUCAUAUUGAUAUAUAAUAGCUAAAAAAAAAAUCGUGCGAAUUUGGUCCAAAACUGAUAUAUAUAUAUUGUUUUUUUUUACUUAGGUGUGGAAUCAGCAGCUAUAACAGGGGACGGAAAGAACCAACUAGAAGUUGUGGGAGAAGUAGACGCGGUGACUCUAACGAGCUUAUUGAGGAAGAAUUUGGGUCUGGCGGACUUGGUGAGCGUUGGCCCGGCUGGUGGUGGCCCCGCAGCUGCAGCUGCGAUGGUUCAGUCGCAACCUGGCUCGUACUACUAUGCCUAUCCGUCUUAUCAAUACCCAGUUUACCAAGUUACAGAUUCCUAUGGUGAAUCCAAUUGUUCCAUUAUGUGAAUGACAAUUUUCGAUUGCUUACUGAAAACAGAGUGUAUAGUAUUGGAACAGUGGGAUUUAAGGCAGUAAAUUGUAUUCACAGUCAAAUUUUUAUUGAUAUGUUAAUAAAUAUAUAGAGUUUCAGCGAAAGCUAUUUGAUUCACGUGAACUUGCAUAGUGUAUCACUCAAGUUUUUUAUCCCCGUCCAAUGGACUAUCUAGUAGAUGAUGAGUUUUUUUUUUUUUUUUUUCAUCUUUUUGGGUCUUUUUAUAUGCCUUUCAAAUAUUAAAAUAUAUGAUGACGUAUAGAAGUUGCUUCUGUUAGGAGUGUUUUAUCUCUGGCACGAAUAAAGUUUCAGUAGAACUCGAUUGUGACAAGAUAUUUUUGUCAAUACUUAGGAGAAUAAUGUAGCAAGAAGUCUAUGUAUAGAUGUACCUCCAAGAAACUCAAAUGAUUAUUUGAAGAAAAUAUGAAAAAUAGAAUGAACGAUUGCUAUCCACAUUAAAUUAGAUAGAACAUUGAUAUAUCUUAGAAAUGAAGGCUAUUGUUUAACCACAAAAAAAAGGAAUAUGUCAAACACAAAUAAUAGUAUCCACGUAGGAAGGGUCGUCUCAAUGAGUUUGGGGACUAAAGCCAAACUUUAUAAAGAUGCUCGUAGAACAUACUCAAUAUAAUUCAAUAAAUGAAGUCUGGAGAGGUAGGAUAUAUGCGUAAAUUAUGAAGUAAGAAUGUGAACCAUGUAAAUUUUCAAAUACAAAAUAUAUAAUAUAAGGUAAGAACAAUAAAACUUGACUCGGAAUUUUGGAAAAAAAUUAUAUAAUGAUAUCAAAAUAGUGUUGCGCUGAAUUUGAUAAGUUGAUAUAAUGAUAUUAAUAUAGCGUUGAUUGGUUUUAGUGCUUGAAAUUUGAAGAAGACACCAAAAAAUAAAUUUGAUGUUUUUAUGAACACACAACCAUAAAUUUUGCAUAAUGUAGAAGGUUUGAUGGUUUGAAAGGCUUUAGAGUAUUCAAUUAUGAGAGAAUAAAAAUAGUGAAAGGAGAUUAAGAAAACUAGAAAAGUAAAUAUAAGAAUAAUAAUGUUGGUUCAUGAUAAUAGUCAUAUAUAUGAGGCAACAAAUAUAGAUAGCCACAUAGAAAGAAUGCUACAACUAACUAAACCCUAUUCAAUUUCUCAGUUAUUGGUCCCUAUAUUAAAUGAGGUAAGGAUUAUAAAAAAAAAAUUCAAAAAAUUCAUUUCAAAUUCAUCAACGCAUGAGAUUUUUCUAAAAACGAUAUGUAUAUAUAUAUAUAUAUAUAUGUAAAUCUUUUGGAGAAAUUGGGGGCCUAAGUGAUUGCUUUAGUGGCCUUCUGGUCAAGACGGCCCUGCACAUAGGUGGUGGACAAUUUUCUUAUAAUUUUUAACAAUUCUCAUUUCGUAAACUAUUUUUUGAAGUUUAAUUAAGUUCAAUAUUAUUUCUUAUAAUGAUAUCAGACUUAGGCUCAUCUCAAUUAUGUUUGACGCUAGACUCCAGCUCAUAUUAUGGUUUUCAUGUAAUAAUCUAAUCUAUGAGUAUAUGGUUGUUAAUAUAUAGUUCAUGUCGAUUCAUAUUUAUUUCCUACUUAGUCACGACUCAUUAUUUAUAGAGAAAUUAGUUAUAACGAGAGAUAACAAUCUAACUAACAUAUACUCGAUAAUUCAUUUGUACCCGUUUUGCAUGAGCUAUACAGUGGUAUAGACAUAUAGCCCUUACUGCGCCGAAACAAGAAAAAUGAUGCGUCCUAGUACUUGCCAAGCAAGGAAGGGGAAGAUGAUGACUUGGUUCAUUUUCUAAAUGUCCAAAUUGUAGGUUGACUUUUUGGGACCCCAUUUAUUGGAACUAAAUUUAGAGGAUCUAUUACUUCGUCAAUUUAGUUUCUUUUUAUUUUAACGGAAUUUAAGAAAAUAAAAUUUAGAACUAAAAAGUGUCAUAAAAGGGAUUUUUGAAAUGAUUUUAAAAAAAAGUAAGAUAAAUAAAUUAAAACGAAAAAAUUACCUGAAUUUGGUAAUCUAUUUGUUUUAAUUUAUUGUUUUAUUUUGACUAGAUAUAAAAUUUCAAAAAAAUAAAAGAAUUUUUAAAUCAUUUUAUUUUAAAAUUAAAAUAUGUAUUAAAAUAUAUUUGAAUCUUAUCAUAAAAUACUUGAAUUAAAAUAAGUGAAGUAAUAAUUUUUAUCCAAACAUAUAUUGGUUCUGUCUUAAUUUACGUGAUACUAUUUAAUUUGACACAUAAUUUAAGAAUUAAAAGAAUUUUUUUGGAAUUUAUGGUCUAAACGACGACUCUACUAUUCAUGUGGUUAUAAAUCUAAAAGGUAAGUGUGUUACGUAAAUUGAGACGCAAGAGUACUUCCUCCGUCCAGCAAUAGUUGUCCACUAUAUUAUUUUGAGAUGUUCAACAAUACUUGUCCACUUUAUGAAAUUAAUGAAAUAAUUUUACACUUAAUUCCUAAUUUAUCCUUAUUAUUAAUUAUAGUCAAGGUCCUAUUACAUUUUUCAUGACACUGUAUUUAUUAUAUUCAAAAGGUGACAUUGUUCAGUCGCAACCCGGCUCAUACUAUUAUGCCUAUCCGUCUUAUCAAUACCCAGUUUACCAAGUUACAGAUUCCUAUGGUGAACCCAAUUGUUCCAUUAUGUGAAUGCCAAUUUUCGAUUGCCUAUGGAAAACAGAGUGUAUAGUAUUGGAACAGAGGGAUUCAAUAUAAUUAACUGUAUUUACAGUCAAAUAUUUAUUAAUAUGUUAAUAAAUAUAUAGAAUUUGAACGAAAGCUAUUUGGUUCACAAUGAAGUGAAUCAUUGAAGUUUUUGGUCCCUGUCCAGAGCUUAAUGGACUAUCUAGUAGAUGAAGAGUUUUGGUUUUUUUUUCCCAUCUUUUUGGGUCUCUGUAAAUGCCUUCCAAAUAUUAAAAUAUAUUAUUUUUCGUAUAAUUGGAUGAUCUGAGUGAUUUUAUUUGUGUUGUCAAAUUCAUUUGAAUUUAAUAUUUUUAAUAUAGAGUAUCAAUUUAAUGUGUAAAAGUUUACUAGAACUGCAACAAAUAAUAAACUUUAGCUCAUUGCUUCAAAAAUAUAUAACGUUCAAUGAUGAUAACUUUAAAAGUUUACUACGUAAAAUUUAUAUUUUGAAUCCAAACUAAAUAAGACCACGAAAUUACAAUGCAGGGGUAUUAAUUUUCCUUAUACUAAGAUCAGAUUAGUACAAGCUGUUUAUUUUGGAUUAUUUAAUUUUCAUAUAUAAUCUACUUCGAGAAGCACAAUUAGUGUGUGAUUAAUUGUUUUUGUUGAUCAAAUGUUUUGAAAAGUGGAAUUUUUAGAAAAUUAAAGUAUUGUUUUGAAUGUGACUAUUUUAGCUAUGUUUGCUAAAAUAUACUCAAAGCAAUCGAAGAAAAUUUUUAUUAUGAGGAUCCAUUGACAAGUUGACAUGUGGAUUGUGGGGGGGAGGGGGGCACAAGUUGUCCUUUAAAGCUGCAACUAAAAUCAAAGAGGAGAGAGUGUAAAGUUUAAUUGGAAAUUGAAAAAAUAUUGUGGGGUUCGCGUCAAAUACAAUUAAAUAAACUAAAAUGAUGUAUUCAAAAUAGAAAAGUGCACAAUAAAAAAGUAAUGAAACGAACCAAAAGUUAUUUUAUACGUAUAUUGAAAUUUUCUGAUUAAAACUAUUUUAAUAAAAAUGUCAAUUAAUAUUUAUUUUAAUAAAAAUGUCAAAUAAGAUAUUAAUGCCCAGAUUGAAGUUUCAUUGAUUUACUAUUUCUAAAAAUAAAUAUAAAAUUCAACAUAUUUAGCAUAAACUUUGUACGAUUUAAUAAAAGUGUAAUAAGUAGAAAUUUGACUGUUCUGCUCCAAAUUAAAAUGAAAUUCGUACUAUAUAAUGUUGUUAUAUAUCUAACACCAUUUAGAUAAAAGAAAUACUCUAAUAAUAUGAUUGUUAUAUCAUAGGAUAGUUUUUAAAAUUUUCACUUUGUUACACAUUUCAAGUCUUUUCUCAGUCCAUAUAUCAAAUAUCCAUUUUUAAAAGUAACACGAGUUUGAAAAAAAAAAAUAUACAUAAAUCUUAUUUUAUCUUGUAAUAUAGAAUCAUUUUUAAAAGUAACACAAAUUUGAAGAGAUCAAAGUGUAUGUAAAUACUAUUUUAUCUUGUAACAUAGAAAUAAUGUUUUUUUUAUAUAAAUCCUUAAUUAAACAAGUUAAAUAAAUGUGUAUAAAACAUAAAAUAAAAAUAUAGGUCAGCUGAUAAUAUGACUUCUCAUUCCCUGCAUUACUAUUUUAAUGUGUAUUUUUCCAUUUUCAAUACAUCAUUGUAGUUUAUUUAAUUGUAUUUGAUAUGGACCCCACGAUUUUCUUUCCGUUUUCAAUUAAACUCUACACCCUCUCUCCUCUUUGGUUUUAAUUGCAGUUUUAAAGGACAAUCUAUCCCCCACAAUCCACAUGUCAACUAGUUAAUAGAAUUUCAUACAAGUUUUUGUUGGUUGUACCUCUGACUUCUAUCCGUUCGACUUUUUUCUCUUCUUGCCUUUGGUAGGAGCUUCUUCAACAAUAUUAACUUCAAUUAUUGUCGAACUCUAACGAGACUUCUUUUCGGCGAUUCUAUUAUAUUCCUCAAUCUUGAGCCGAAUCACAAAAUUUUCAAGUUUCAUUUCCUUACGUUUGUGCUUUAAAUAAUUCUUGAAGUCGUUCCACGAAGGAGGUAACUUCUCGAUCAUUGCAACCACUUGAAAAGCUUCAUUUACAAACAUAUCCUCAGCAUUCAGAUUAUGGAAAAUAAGUUGAAGUUCUUGCACUUGUGAUUCAACAGUUUUACUAGUUGACAUUUUAUAGUCUAAAAACUUUGCGACCACAAACUUUUUCAAGCAUGCAUCUUUUGUCUUAUAUUUCUUCUAAGGUGCAUCCCACAAUUCUUUCAAAGUUGUCAUUGCACUAUACAUAUUAUAUAAGUCAUCCUCUAAAGCACUCAGAAUGUAGCCCUUACAUAGGAAGUCUGUCUGUUUUCAUGCUUCAAUAAUCAUGAAUUUUUCUUUGUCUAACAUUUCAGCAGCAGGCACUGGAGUUUCUUUACUGGUAAAUUUCUACAGACAAAGAGUGCUAAGCCAGAAAAAUACCCGUUGCUGCCAUCCUUUGAAAUUCAUACCAGAGAAUUUUCCCGAUUUCUCUGUUGGUGGUAUAACAAUUCGGGUUGGUGCAGCAACAACCACUGUUACAUUGUUGUUUGCCAUUUCUGAUAAACAAAAAUCGAUACAAACUUAGUAAGCAAUAACUUAAAUUGCAAACUUAAUAGGAGUAUAAAACUACAAAGGAUUUUGUCUCCACCAAAAACACAGAUUAAAAAUAAAUAACUAAUUUCCUUAAGAUUGUUGCCAAUCUGUGUUUAAAAAACAGUAAUACUGAUUACCAAAAACUUUGAAGAAACACGAAGUUACCAAAGUUUCCAAUGAACCAGUGAAGAAAAGAAGAACAUAAAUUAAUUCACAAAAAAUUAAAAUCUGUAAAACAUACCAGAAUCUGGAAAAGACAAAACGAAAAAAGAUCAAGUCUACUGAAUGCACAAUGUCCCCUUAAGGAAAUUAUUCCUCUCUAGUAUCUGAGGUUUGAUUUGGAAUAUAUCCUCCUAAGAUAGAAUGAUCUCAAUCACCAGUAUAUUGAUACCCAAAACGCGAGCCACUCAACGGUAGUAAAUUACACGAAAAAUAUUUAUGCAAAAGAAGAAGAAGAAAUCAGAAAUUUUCGUAAGUAAAAAGUCUGAAGAAUAACUGGUAUUUAUAGCCAAGAGGAACUGAUUCCGAAAGGUUGCAACCUUUCAGAAACCACACGACCAUUUCAGAAAGUUUGCAACCUUUCAAACGGCCAUGGCUGUUCCUGAAAGUUGCAACCUUUCAGAACAGUCAUCUCCAACGGUGGGAAAUUCAAAUAAAAUGGGAAAGUAAUUUAAAUAAAACCGGUCAUGCGGAUCCGAGUCGGAUCGGAACGUUUCGGUUAAUUAACUAAUUAAUUGAAACGUUUUGGCCAUUUAAUUUUAAAUAAAUAAGUAAAACAAAACUUUAUCCAAAAAAUAAUCUCUGAAUCAUUUUCCAAAGCCGAGCGAGCGACGACGACGGCGCGAGGAGGGUCCCUCUUCCCAACCAUUUUAACAAUUAAUAGAAAUGUUUCUCUAUUUAAAUUCUUCUAUUUUUCUUUUCACCACCGAUGAGGGAGAAAAGCCUUUUUACUAAAGCAUAAGAGGACUUUUCAAGUUCCUCUCUUUUCAUCUUCCCUCCAUUUUCCAUUAACUCUUGUUAUAUACCCAACAAUAUAUACGUCCAAGAAACUUAAAUGAUUAUUAGAAGAAAAUAUGAAAAAUAGGAUGAACGUACGAUUGCAAUCCUCAUUUAAUUAGAUAGAACAUUGAUUAUCUUAGAAAUGAAAGCAAUAUGGAUUUAAACCACAAAAAAAAAGUAUUAUGUCAACACAAAUAAUAGUAUCCAUAUAGGUGGUGGACAACUAUCUUCUUAUAAAUUUUAACAAUUCUCAUUUCGUAAAUUAAUUUUUGAAGUUUAAUUAAGUUUAAUAUUAGACGAGAGGGAGUUGCUCGGAUGGUAAGCACCCCUCACUUUCAAUCUGAAGGUUGCGAGUUCGGGUCACCAAGGAAGCAAAAGGGGUGGGAGCUCCUAGGGAGGGUUAAAAAAUAAAAUAAUAAUAAUAAUAAUAAUAUUAGAGUUAGAUUCAUCUCAAUUCUGUUCGAUGCUAGAUCCCAGAUCAUAUUAUGGUGUACACGUAAUAAUCCAAUCUAUGAGUAUAGGAUUGUUAAUAUGUAGUUCAUAACGAUUAAUUUUUAUUUCCUACUUAGUCACGUCUCAUUAUUUAUAAAGAAAUUAGUUAUAACUGGAGAUAACCAAUACUCGACAAUUCAUUUGAACCCGUUUUUCAUGAGCUAUACAAUGGUUUAAACGUAUAGUACUUACGGCGCCGAAACAAGAAAAUUGAUGCGCCUUAGUACUUGCCAAGCAAGAAAGGGGAAGAUGAUGACUUGGUUCGUUUCUAAAUAUCCAAAUUGUAGGAUGACUUAUUGACUUUUUGGGACCCCAUUUAUUGGAACCAAAUUUAGAGGAUAUAUUACUUCGUCAAUUUAGUUUGUUUUUAUUUUAUUAUUCUAAUGGAAUUUAAGAAAAUAAAAUUUAGAACUAAAAGUGUCACAAAGGGGAUUUUUUAAAACGAUUUUUAAAGAAAAAGUAAGAUAAAUAAAUUUUAAAAAAAAAAAUACCUGAAUUUUGUAAUCUAUUUGUUUUAAUUUAUUGUUUUAUUUUGACUAGAUAUAAAAUUUCAAAAAAAAUAAAAGAAUUUUUUAAUCAUUUAAUUUUAAAUUAAAAUAUGUAUUAAAAUAUAUUUUGAAUCUUAUAAGAUGAAAAAUAAAAUACUUGAAUUAAAAUAAAUGGAGUAAUAAAUUUUAUCCAAACAUAUAUUGGUUCCGUCUUAAUUUACGUGAUACUACUAUUUAAUUUGACGCAAAUUUAAGAAUUAAAAGAAAUAUUUUUAAAAUUUAUGGUCUAAACGAUGACUACUAUUCAUGUGGUUACAAAUCUAAAAGGUAAGUGUGUCAUGCAAAUUGAGACGGAAGAGUACUCCCUUCGUCCAACAAUAGUUGUGCAUUAUACUAUUUUGGGAUGUCCAAAAAUAUUUGUCCACUUUAUGAAAUAAUGAAUAAUUUUACACUUAUUCCUAAUUUCUGUUCAUUUUCUCCAAAUUUUAGCUUGGAUUGGAGACACAUGUCAUAGUUUAGAAUUAAUAGUUGAGAUCUAAUUAAUUAAAACAAAGUUUUAACCAUAGUUAUUUACUUUCAUAUAUUUGCUUCUUAAAUAAUUUUGCAAUCCAACAAUUCUAGAUUUACAUUAUAUUUUUCCUAAAUAUAUAUUUUUUAAAUUUCUUUUCUUAAUUACUUGAGUAAUAUUUUGCUGAUUUUUUUUACUUUUUUCCCUGACGAUUGUCAUUUCUCAAAUAAUAUUUGUCAAAUAAAAAAUUAAAAAUUGCGACCUAAUUUUUUUUAAAAAAAAUUAUGAGUAAAAUAAAUUUUGUCACUCAACUUUAAAUUAUUUUUUACUCCCUAAAUGGAGUCCAUAUUACUCUAUAGACAUUGUAGCUCUUAAUACUCUAUUAGAAUAAUAAAAUCGUUUAACUGUAUUAUAAUUUUUUUCAAUAAAGUAAAAAUAUUUAGUAAAAGUUUAAAAUAUGUAGGCAGGGCAGUAAAGAAAAGUUUUUAAUAUAUUUAGUGAAACUAUAAUGGAUUGCCAAAAUAUUUAAGAAUCAAAUAUAUGAAAGUAAAUAACUAUGGUUAGGACUUUGUUUUAAUCAAUCAUAUCUCAACCAUUAAAUCUAACUAUGACAUGUGUUUCCAAUUCAAGCUAGAACUUGAGGAAAAUGAAGAGAAGAGAAAUUGAGAAUAACCGAAUCCGUAUUUAUUAUAUUCAAAAAGUGAUAUAAUAAAAUUAUCCUUCUUUUUAAAGUUUAUUAAGAAAUGUGCAAAAUUAAUAGUGGAUUAAAUAUUGUUAGACACGGUAUAUUUUAAACAAUCAUUUUAUUUUUAUGGAUUCAGACGAUGAAAACUAAGUCAACUUUAUAACGUGCGGAGUUUGACGGAUGACUGAAUCAUUCUUCUUCAACACGCGUUAUUUCAAAUAAAUACUGUUCUUACAACUCUAUAAAUAGAGAAGAAUAUACAAAUACUCCUCACUGCAAUUUCUCAGCAUUUCAAAUAUUCCUCUCUUUUACUCUCUCUGCCUACUCAAUUAUACUCCUAACCAAACUUUAAUUCCCCAUCAAACAAACAAAAUGAAGGUAUACAAAUUAAUUUAAAUGUAAUUUUAAAUUUUUUUUAAGUAUAUGAUUCAACUCUUAUCUAUUAACAAAUGUUGUUAAAUUUGUGCAGCAAAAAGUUGUUAUCAGACUAUCUUUGAAUGGAAACAAUCAGAAAUAUCGAACCAAGGCCUUCAAGAUUGCUGUUUCUCAAUCAGGUAAUUUCAAUCAAAUGUAUCGAAUAAAGUCUCAUAUUGAUGUUAAUUAAAAAAAAUCGUGUGAAUUUGGCUCAAAGCUGAUUAUAUAUGUAUUGUUAAUUUUUGUUACUUAGGUGUGGAAUCAGCAGCUAUAACAGGGGACGGAAAGAACCAAUUGGAAGUUGUGGGAGAAGUAGACGCGGCGACUCUAACGAGCUUAUUGAGGAAGAAUUUGGGUCAGGCGGACUUGGUGAGCGUUGGCCCGGCUGGUGGUGGCCCCGCAGCUGCAGCUCCAGCUCCAGCCGUAGCUGCAGCUGCGAUGGUUCAGUCACAACCUGGCUCGUAUUAUUAUGCCUAUCCGUCUUAUCAAUACCCAGUUUACCAAGUUACAGAUUCCUAUGGCGAAUCCAAUUGUUCCAUUAUGUGAAUGACAAUUUUCGGUUGCCUAUGGAAAACAGAGUGUAUAGUAUUGGAAUAGAGGGAUUCAAUAUAAUUAACUGUAUUCACAGUCAAAUAUUUAUUGAUAUGUUAAUAGAUAGGGCUAUAGAGUUUGAGCGAAAGCUAUUUGGUUCACGUGAACUUGUAUGGUGUAUCAUUGAAGUUUUUGGUCCCUGUCCAGAGAGCUUAAUGGACUAUCUAGUAGAUGAAGAGUUUUGGUUUUUUUUUCCCCAUCUUUUUGGGUCUUUGUACAUGCCUUUCAAAUAUUAAAAUAUAUGAUUUUUCGUAUAAUUGGAUGAU